RNAcentral lists this long non-coding RNA (296 nucleotides) under Musa acuminata (dwarf banana). RNAcentral describes it as "long non-coding RNA (MACU_LNC010087)". The record is from RNAcentral. Lineage: Eukaryota; Viridiplantae; Streptophyta; Magnoliopsida; Zingiberales; Musaceae.
AAGGAGAUGCCAGGCCCAAUGUGAAGUAGUGUUGUGUAUAUUGGGAGAACGGGUGCCCAUAUCAAGAAAACGAAUAGCUCGGUUCACUUUCCAGUAUAGGGAGACAGACUUCGAAUUGAGAAAGAAGUUCCCCCAUUUCCAUUGAGAUCAUUUCCGGGUCUCUUCGAAAAUCGGCUGCUCUCUGACAAUCCCUAGUGGAGCCCUGCUGCUCAACGACUGUCCGAUGAAGGUAUCAGGUGUCAAUACAAUGAAUGAAUCCGAGAUGAUGGCCUUCUCUUCUUAUUCAAAGAAGUGUU